This 354-nucleotide unclassified non-coding RNA is filed under the name soil metagenome. Its description in RNAcentral is "partial contains 5.8S ribosomal RNA, internal transcribed spacer 2, and large subunit ribosomal RNA". The stretch from base 2 to 119 matches the Rfam family "5.8S ribosomal RNA", at positions 37 to 154 of the family's 154-position model. The record is from RNAcentral.
GUGAAGAACGUAGCGAAAUGCGAUAAGUAAUGUGAAUUGCAGAAUUCAGUGAAUCAUCGAAUCUUUGAACGCACAUUGCGCCCAUUAGUAUUCUAGUGGGCAUGCCUGUUCGAGCGUCAUUAAGUCCACUUAAGCCCUGCUUAGUGUUGGGAGACUGCUCCAGCGGUGCUACCCUGUAGCUACCCUGCAGCUCCUCAAAGACAGCGGCGGAGUUGUGGUAUCCUCUGAGCUUAGUAACUUGUUCUAGCUUUCGAGUACACCACUUCCCCUGCCGUAAAACCCUUAAUUUUUAAUGGUUGACCUCGGAUCAGGUAGGAAUACCCGCUGAACUUAAGCAUAUCAAUAAGCGGAGGA